This 438-nucleotide ribosomal RNA is filed under the name uncultured bacterium. RNAcentral's name for it is "partial 16S ribosomal RNA". It matches the Rfam family "Bacterial small subunit ribosomal RNA", at positions 339 to 795 of the family's 1533-position model. The record is from RNAcentral.
CUACGGGAGGCACCAGUGAGGAAUAUUGCACAAUGGGGGGAACCCUGAUGCAGCAACGCCGCGUGGAGGAUGACGCAUUUCGGUGUGUAAACUCCUUUUAUAUGUCAAGAAAAUGACGGUAGCAUAUGAAUAAGCACCGGCUAACCCCGUGCCAGCAGCCGCGGUAAUACGGAGGGUGCAAGCGUUACUCGGAAUCACUGGGCGUAAAGGACGCGUAGGCGGGUUGGAAAGUCAGGUGUGAAAUCCUACAGCUUAACUGUAGAACUGCACUUGAAACUUCUAAUCUAGAGUAUGGGAGGGGAGAUGGAAUUAGUGGUGUAGGGGUAAAAUGCGUAGAUAUCACUAGGAAUACCUAAAGCGAAGGCGAUCUCCUGGAACAUGACUGACGCUAAGGCGUGAAAGCGUGGGGAGCAAACAGGAUUAGAUACCCGUGUAGUC